This 301-nucleotide ribosomal RNA is filed under the name uncultured bacterium. Its description in RNAcentral is "partial 16S ribosomal RNA". It matches the Rfam family "Bacterial small subunit ribosomal RNA", at positions 509 to 807 of the family's 1533-position model. The record is from RNAcentral.
CAGUCGCCACGGGAAUACAGAGGGUGCGAGCGUUAAUCGGAUUUACUGGGCGUAAAGCGUGCGUAGGCGGCUUUUUAAGUCGGAUGUGAAAUCCCUGAGCUUAACUUAGGAAUUGCAUUCGAUACUGGGAAGCUAGAGUAUGGGAGAGGAUGGUAGAAUUCCAGGUGUAGCGGUGAAAUGCGUAGAGAUCUGGAGGAAUACCGAUGGCGAAGGCAGCGAUCUGGCCUAAUACUGACGCUGAGGUACGAAAGCAUGGGGAGCAAACAGGAUUAGAUACCCCUGUAGUCCCUGUCUCUUAUAC